CACCUUGCUCUUGGGGAGACUCGAACUCACAACCUCUCGGUUGGAAGUGGCGGUUGCCUACCAACAGAGUAACCCCUCUUGUCUGGAGACUGUGAGAAAGCACGGGAGAAAAAUAUAACUGAGAUUAAACAUGAUACAAUGAGCUCUACAUAUACACACAUAACAUAUCCUACUCCUAAUAGACAUUGGAUUAGGCUACUCCUAAUACACAUUGGAUUAGGGUUCUACUAU
Molecule: long non-coding RNA, 231 nt
Filed under: Nicotiana benthamiana
Lineage: Eukaryota; Viridiplantae; Streptophyta; Magnoliopsida; Solanales; Solanaceae
Description: long non-coding RNA (NBEN_LNC000889)
Source: RNAcentral